UUACUGCGAAGGGGGGACGGAGAAGGCUAUGUUGGCCGGGCGACGGUUGUCCCGGUUUAAGCGUGUAGGCUGGUUUUCCAGGCAAAUCCGGAAAACCAAGGCUGAGGCGUGAUGACGAGGCACUACGGUGCUGAAGCGACAAAUGCCCUGCUUCCAGGAAAAGCCUCUAAGCAUCAGGUAACAUCAAAUCGUACCCCAAACCGACACAGGUGGUCAGGUAGAGAAUACCAAGGCGCUUGAGAGAACUCGGGUGAAGGAACUAGGCAAAAUGGUGCCGUAACUUCGGGAGAAGGCACGCUGAUAUGUAGGUGAAGCGACUUGCUCGUGGAGCUGAAAUCAGUCGAAGAUACCAGCUGGCUGCAACUGUUUAUUAAAAACACAGCACUGUGCAAACACGAAAGUGGACGUAUACGGUGUGACGCCUGCCCGGUGCCGGAAGGUUAAUUGAUGGGGUUAGCGGUAACGCGAAGCUCUUGAUCGAAGCCCCGGUAAACGGCGGCCGUAACUAUAACGGUCCUAAGGUAGCGAAAUUCCUUGUCGGGUAAGUUCCGACCUGCACGAAUGGCGUAAUGAUGGCCAGGCUGUCUCCACCCGAGACUCAGUGAAAUUGAACUCGCUGUGAAGAUGCAGUGUACCCGCGGCAAGACGGAAAGACCCCGUGAACCUUUACUAUAGCUUGACACUGAACAUUGAGCCUUGAUGUGUAGGAUAGGUGGGAGGCUUUGAAGUGUGGACGCCAGUCUGCAUGGAGCCGACCUUGAAAUACCACCCUUUAAUGUUUGAUGUUCUAACGUUGGCCCGUAAUCCGGGUUGCGGACAGUGUCUGGUGGGUAGUUUGACUGGGGCGGUCUCCUCCUAAAGAGUAACGGAGGAGCACGAAGGUUGGCUAAUCCUGGUCGGACAUCAGGAGGUUAGUGCAAUGGCAUAAGCCAGCUUGACUGCGAGCGUGACGGCGCGAGCAGGUGCGAAAGCAGGUCAUAGUGAUCCGGUGGUUCUGAAUGGAAGGGCCAUCGCUCAACGGAUAAAAGGUACUCCGGGGAUAACAGGCUGAUACCGCCCAAGAGUUCAUAUCGACGGCGGUGUUUGGCACCUCGAUGUCGGCUCAUCACAUCCUGGGGCUGAAGUAGGUCCCAAGGGUAUGGCUGUUCGCCAUUUAAAGUGGUACGCGAGCUGGGUUUAGAACGUCGUGAGACAGUUCGGUCCCUAUCUGCCGUGGGCGCUGGAGAACUGAGGGGGGCUGCUCCUAGUACGAGAGGACCGGAGUGGACGCAUCACUGGUGUUCGGGUUGUCAUGCCAAUGGCACUGCCCGGUAGCUAAAUGCGGAAGAGAUAAGUGCUGAAAGCAUCUAAGCACGAAACUUGC
This 1363-nucleotide ribosomal RNA is filed under the name Escherichia coli. Its description in RNAcentral is "partial 23S ribosomal RNA". It matches the Rfam family "Bacterial large subunit ribosomal RNA", at positions 1451 to 2797 of the family's 2925-position model. Lineage: Bacteria; Pseudomonadati; Pseudomonadota; Gammaproteobacteria; Enterobacterales; Enterobacteriaceae. The record is from RNAcentral.